CUGUUGAUGAGUGUAAUAAGAUGAAGCUACUCCAACCAAACUUUGGAGUCAAAUAUAAUACUUAAAUGUUAUUUCCAUUUUAGGAUGAUUAUAUGUCCAUUUUAAUAUAUUUUCAAGUUGAAUCAUUGUAUUUUAGUCUAUUUUCAAGUGUAACAAAAUAGAGUUUCUUAAAGCUACCAAAAUGUUUCACCAUGAGAGUCAAAUAC
This 206-nucleotide long non-coding RNA is filed under the name Musa acuminata (dwarf banana). RNAcentral's name for it is "long non-coding RNA (MACU_LNC003684)". Lineage: Eukaryota; Viridiplantae; Streptophyta; Magnoliopsida; Zingiberales; Musaceae. The record is from RNAcentral.